UGGCUCAGAAUGAACGCUGGCGGCGUGCUUACACAUGCAAGUCGCACGAGAACACCUCAGCUUGCUGGGGUAAGUAAAGUGGCGCACGGGUGAGUAACGCGUGGGUAAUCUGCCCUCGAAUCUGGGAUAACCCCGCGAAAGCGGGGCUAAUACCGGAUGAAAUCCAGUUAGCUUUGGCUAUAUGGAUCAAAGGUGGCCUCUGCAUGCAAGCUACUGUUUGGGGAUGAGCCCGCGUACCGUUAGCUUGUUGGUGGGGUAAAGGCCCACCAAGGCGACGAUGGUUAGCUGGUCUGAGAGGAUGAUCAGCCACACUGGAACUGGAACACGGUCCAGACUCCUACGGGAGGCAGCAGUGAGGAAUUUUGCGCAAUGGGGGUAACCCUGACGCAGCAACGCCGCGUGAGUGAUGAAGGCCUUCGGGUCGUAAAGCUCUGUCAAGUGGGAAGAACCCAUUCCGGCACAACAAGCCGGGGUGCUGACGGUACCACUGAAGGAAGCACCGGCUAACUCCGUGCCAGCAGCCGCGGUAAUACGGAGGGUGCGAGCGUUAUUCGGAAUUACUGGGCGUAAAGGGCGCGUAGGCGGCCGAUUAAGUCAGAUGUGAAAUCCCGGGGCUUACCCCCGGAAGUGCAUUUGAUACUGAACGGCUUGAGUAUGGGAGAGGGAAGUGGAAUUCCUGGUGUAGCGGUGAAAUGCGUAGAUAUCAGGAGGAACACCGGUGGCGAAGGCGACUUCCUUGGACCAAUACUGACGCUGAAGGCGCGAAGGCGUGGGGAGCAAACAGGGUUAGAUACCCUGGUAGUCCCACGCAGUAAACGGUGAUCACUAAGUGUAACGGGUAUUGACCCC
This 849-nucleotide ribosomal RNA is filed under the name uncultured organism. RNAcentral describes it as "bacterial SSU rRNA". It matches the Rfam family "Bacterial small subunit ribosomal RNA", at positions 20 to 839 of the family's 1533-position model. The record is from RNAcentral.